This is a long non-coding RNA of Malaya genurostris, 1071 nucleotides long. RefSeq lists it as uncharacterized. Lineage: Eukaryota; Metazoa; Arthropoda; Insecta; Diptera; Culicidae. The record is from RefSeq and is a predicted model, not a curated record. The transcript has 3 exons.
CUCUGCUACUAAGUGACUUCGGUUGUCGAGCAGCCUGGCGAAUCUUUGGCACUAAUUGAAAAUCUGGACAUUUUUUCUUCAAGGGCUUGCAAGGAAGGAUUUGGCGGAUCGCACUGUGGAAUCUAUUACAGUCAUCAUGGAUAAUGAAGUGAUUGUGCUGUCAGUGGCAUUUUUUGGCUGUUGGUGAUCUAAAUGAUUCCGAAUUGGACGAAUAAAAUGUUACACUUAUUGAUAUUUUUUUUUGUUACACAAUGGAGACCACACGUUGAUUGUCGCUUAACUGAUCGGUUAACCGAUAAUGAAUACAUCUUGGUUUAACAGUUCCUAAUUCAUCAAACAAUAUCUGCCUGUAGCUCUUCAUACUCUUAACGUUCUCAUCAAAUAAGUAUUUCACAAAAAUGAUGUUUUAUCAACACCGCAAGGAGACAUCAAUCCAUCGUGAAACACCGAAGAUGACAAAAUAAAAUCAUUUCAGACUACCGAUGUUCAUAUGGAGGUCGAGCGAAUCGAUCCAUUUGUUCGCUCGAAUUACACCGUCGGUGGAGAAUGUUACCAGCCAAAGUUUGAGAUUCCGAAUGUUUACUGGGUACAUCCGUUCGAGGUUAACUACGAGCGAGUUGGUUAUACUCUGCUCUACUCUACGAUGCAGGCUUCAGUACGCCCGUUAACUCACACACAGAACGAAAGUUUCAUAUCAAGUUUCUAUCCGUAAAACGUACUUACUUUUUUAAUGAUGGUCGACGUGUUCCUGGUCUUGUUAUUUUUUUACAGAAGGAAGGUGCUGUGACCACUAAGUCUGGCUAGACCAAUGCCAUUUGCUUCUACCAAAUCCGUUCCGGAAAACUUGUCUUUGAAUCGAAGGUUGAGCUAAAAUCAGUGUACUCAUUACGUGUGAUGAUUGAAAAUAUUGAACUUACCAUGCUUUUCUAAGACCCGACGUUGAAAACCACAAAAUUUAAGCUGCAGCUCGACUGAAAAUCUUUGGUCCCGAAAUUUGCAGAACAUACGCACCAGUUCUUUACACUAUUGUACUCCAGCGCGCAAAAAAUAUACCAGUUUUUUUAAUAGACA